AUUGAACGCUGGCGGCAUGCCUUACACAUGCAAGUCGAACGGCAGCACGGGAGCAAUCCUGGUGGCGAGUGGCGAACGGGUGAGUAAUGUAUCGGAACGUGCCCAGUCGUGGGGGAUAACGCAGCGAAAGCUGUGCUAAUACCGCAUACGAUCUAUGGAUGAAAGCGGGGGAUCGCAAGACCUCGCGCGAUUGGAGCGGCCGAUAUCAGAUUAGCUAGUUGGUGGGGUAAAAGCUUACCAAGGCGAGGAUCUGUAGCUGGUCUGAGAGGAUGACGAUCAGCACUGGAACUGAGAGACGGUCCAGACUCCUACGGGAGGCAGCAGUGGGGAAUUUAGGACAAUGGGCGCAAGCCUUAUCCAGCAAUGCCGCGGGCAGGAUGAAGGCCUUCGGGUUGUAAACUGCUUUUGUACGGAGCGAAAAGGCUCUCACUAAUACAGGGGGCUCAUGACGGUACCGUAAGAAUAAGCACCGGCUAACUACGUGCCAGCAGCCGCCGUAA
This 500-nucleotide ribosomal RNA is filed under the name uncultured bacterium. RNAcentral's name for it is "partial 16S ribosomal RNA". It matches the Rfam family "Bacterial small subunit ribosomal RNA", at positions 30 to 523 of the family's 1533-position model. The record is from RNAcentral.